AACGAACGCUGGCGGCGCGUUUUAAGCAUGCAAGUCGAGCGGCAAGGGUAGCAAUACCCCUAGAGCGGCGGACGGGUGAGUAACACGUGGACAACCUGCCCUUAGGUGAGGGAUAGCCCAGGGAAACCUGGAUUAAUACCUCAUAAGACCACUGAUAGGAGUAUGAGUGGGGAAAGGUGCUACGGCGCCGCCUGAGGAUGGAUCUGCGUCCCAUUAGCUAGAUGGCAGGGUAAAGGCCUACCAUGGCGACGAUGGGUAGCCGGCCUGAGAGGGUGAACGGCCACACUGGAACUGAGAGACGGUCCAGACUCCUACGGGAGGCAGCAGCUAAGAAUCUUCCGCAAUGGGCGCAAGCCUGACGGAGCGACGCCGCGUGAACGAUGAAGGCCGCAAGGUUGUAAAGUUCUUUUCGGGAAGGAGAAUAAGGGGAGCAGGCAAUGGCUUUCCGAUGCCGUGAAUCCCGGAAUAAGCCCCGGCUAACUACGUGCCAGCAGCCGCGGU
RNAcentral lists this ribosomal RNA (501 nucleotides) under uncultured bacterium. Its description in RNAcentral is "bacterial SSU rRNA". It matches the Rfam family "Bacterial small subunit ribosomal RNA", at positions 29 to 521 of the family's 1533-position model. The record is from RNAcentral.